Molecule: ribosomal RNA, 131 nt
Filed under: Plasmodium sp.
Lineage: Eukaryota; Apicomplexa; Aconoidasida; Haemosporida; Plasmodiidae
Description: large subunit ribosomal RNA
Source: RNAcentral
UUUUUUGUGUGCCGUAAACAUAUAACGGUAAAAAGGUUCGCCGGGGAUAACAGGUUAUAGUAUAUAUGGAGCUCUAAUCCUUAUAUACUAUUGGCACCUCCAUGUCGUCUCAUCGCAGCCUUGCAAUAAAA